Molecule: long non-coding RNA, 269 nt
Filed under: Lathyrus oleraceus (garden pea)
Lineage: Eukaryota; Viridiplantae; Streptophyta; Magnoliopsida; Fabales; Fabaceae
Description: Pisum sativum (pea) long non-coding RNA (PSAT_LNC001149)
Source: RNAcentral
UCAGGGUUUGCUUGAGCUGAAAGUCUGUGAGUCAGAAUGAACCUUUCAGAGUUGCCUGGAGGUUGCUGCAGAUUAAUUCUCACAAUCUCUGUCUAGGUUUCUCUCCAGGUUUUGUCCAGGGUUUUGUUCCAAGGAAACCUCAGAGUGUUUUUGCUUGUCUUCCUUUUUCUGUCUGAUCUCCCUCUUUUAUAACCUGAUUUUCAUGGCUUUGUGGGCUCAAAUGAGAGAGGUCCAAGUCCAAGUUUUUUUCUAUUAUAUUUUAUUAUUAU